Molecule: ribosomal RNA, 497 nt
Filed under: uncultured bacterium
Lineage: Bacteria
Description: partial 16S ribosomal RNA
Rfam family: Bacterial small subunit ribosomal RNA
Source: RNAcentral
GAUGAACGCUGGCGGCGUGCCUAAUACAUGCAAGUCGAGCGAACAGACGAGGAGCUCGCUCCUCUGACGUUAGCGGCGGACGGGUGAGUAACACGUGGAUAACCUACCUAUAAGACUGGGAUAACUUCGGGAAACCGGAGCUAAUACCGGAUAAUAUAUUGAACCGCAUGGUUCAAUAGUGAAAGACGGUUUUGCUGUCACUGAGAGAUGGAUCCGCGCCGCAUUAGCUAGUUGGUAAGGUAACGGCUUACCAAGGCAACGAUGCGUAGCCGAACUGAGAGGGUGAUCGGCCACACUGGAACUGAGACACGGUCCAGACUCCUACGGGAGGCAGCAGUAGGGAAUCUUGCGCAAUGGGCGAAAGCCUGACGGAGCAACGCCGCGUGAGUGAUGAAGGUCUUCGGAUCGUAAAACUCUGUUAUUGGGGAAGAACAAAUGUGUAAGUAACUAUGCACGUCUUGACGGUACCUAAACAGAAAGCCACGGCUAACUACGUG